Molecule: RNA transcript, 4290 nt
Organism: Lagopus muta (rock ptarmigan)
Lineage: Eukaryota; Metazoa; Chordata; Aves; Galliformes; Phasianidae
Gene: LRRC38
Gene name: leucine rich repeat containing 38
Exons: 5
Source: RefSeq, a predicted model, not a curated record
UCAGCUUUUUUUAGCUCACAAAAGCAAGGGAGUCCUUUGAAAGGUCCUCGGUUUUACCCAAUCAUCGCUCCCUCCCUCGCGUUGUGCAGCAUUAUCAUUCUCUGGCAGUGUAAAUCCUCACAUAUGCCUGCCUCCCUCUUGCCUUCAGCCUCUCCCUCCCUCCCCCUCCCCACCGUGCUGCCAUCGGAUCUGUGAUAAUAUGUGAUCUCCUGGAUACAAUCACACACACACACAAGUACCAGGCACCGCUGCUCAGCUCAGCAAAAUGUCUUUCUCGUAGAAGUGCUCAUCAUCACAGCUUCCGAAUCCUUGACGAUGUGGCCAUGCUUUCCUUUCUGCCUUCUACCUUUUUCUGUCUUUGUCUGCCUGCUCUUCUUACCCACGGGUCAUCUUUGCCCUGCUGUCUGUAGCUGUAUGGACUACCACACCAUAGACUGCCGGGAUCAAGGACUCCCCAGUGUUCCCAAUCCGUUUCCAUUGGAUGUACGGAAACUUCUUAUAGCCGAUAACAACAUCCAGGCGAUACCAGCUGAUUUCUUCAUAUUUUAUGGAGACCUGGUCUAUUUGGACUUCAGGAAUAACUCCCUCACCUCUUUAGAAGAGGGCACUUUUAGCAGUUCUACCAAACUGGUGUAUUUAGAUUUAAGCUACAAUAAUUUAACGCAGCUUGAAGCCGGGAUAUUCAAAUCGGCAGAAAAACUGAUAAAACUCAGCUUGGGAAACAAUAACCUGGUGGAUGUGGACGAGGCUGCUUUUGAGAACCUGGAACAGCUGCAAGUGUUAGAAUUGAACGACAAUAACUUGCAGAGCCUAAACGUGGCAGCCCUCGAAGCGCUUCCCUCCCUGCGGACGAUACGCCUGGAGGGCAACCCGUGGGUCUGUGACUGUGACUUUGCCAAUCUUUUCAGCUGGAUCCAGGACAAUGCCUCUAAGCUCCAGAAAGGUCUCCAUGAAAUCCAGUGUUCCCUGCCUGUAGAAAAUAGAAGAAUCUUUCUGAAUGAAUUAUCUGAGGUUCAUCCCACUGCGAUGCCUCAGAAUGAAGAUCUAGAUUUGUUCUUAGUUUGUAGCAUUUUGUUCAACCCAACAUAGAGCUCUGAAAGCCCUGAUUUUAUUUGGAGCUUAGCACCCCUCAGAACAGCAAGGAACAGACCAAGCUGACACCCACAUAACCCAGUGCAAGCAGAGGAGCAAGGCUUAGUAAAGCUUUAUUUAUGAAGCUGCCAUUCGGGACAUUCCUUCACAUCAAAGUGAUUUUACAAAACAGCCUCAGUGGAACAGCUGAAGCCUGAUGGAGAUGCUGAGCCUGAGACAGUGCUUCAUCCCUAGUGGAGGUCCCUCUGUGCUGGCUUUCAAACCCAUGGGAGCAACUGUGCAGGACUGUUUACUGAUUCAGCAUGUGCAGCCUACACACUGCGUGAGUAAAUGAACUUAGUUUCCAAGUGGCCAGCUGGCACACUGCUAACUUAAGCCCAAAAUAAAGGGCUUGGGAAAGUUUCUGAAUAGAAUAAUUCCUCUUGAAGGAACCAUGGAGUAAUGUUAUUUGUGCUGUAACCUGUUUUUACUGACCUCUAGCUGCAAAUGAAUUGCUUUACUGUGGAGGUAAGUCGUGAUUCAUUGUGGUGAAUCUUCAUGUAUAUCUUCACAUCUUGUCUGCAUCUUAAACAAGAUAUAUCCAGCUUGGUACUAUCUCUGCAGUGUGCAGCAAUGCAAAUCACCAACAACCAUCAGCAGCAGACUGGGAAAAACACUCUUUUGUUCAUGCUGACCAAUUAUCCAUCUACAACUGUAAAUAAUUAGCAGGAGAAACCUGUUGGAUCUUAAACUGACAGAGAGGGUGACAGGUGUUGUGUUGCAAAACAGAGUGCCUGAGUUAUGAGGUGUCUCUCCAGUUCCCAUCAGCUCUCACGGCUCACCAAGAGCUCCAUGAAGACGUGUAACUUGAGGUUAGCAGGCAUUAUGUGCUUUUUGGGGGUUUGUCAAAAAAACAUACGAGUAAACUCUUCAGAAUAGGCUUUUACUGUUGGUUUUGUGGGAAGUGAAAAGUUUAGAGGGAGGUGAGCAGCAAAUAAGGGGUGAAGAUGACAGCUUGGGUUGGAGUUGAUCAGCAGAGCUAAGUUUGCUUCACAGCAGCAUUGUUUUGAUGCAGAGCUGCUUUUUCUCCAAGCAGUAAGUGGGUACUAAUGGUUAGCCCUUCACACCAGGUAUGAAAUGGCAUAGCUUCCUAAAGGGUAGCUCAAACUCAAAGAAAUACUUGCUGGUGGAGUUUUUAAAGCUUGUUGCUCACAGCACCAGUUGCCUAUUGGAAAGCUUUAGUUUCAAUCUGAAAUGCAAUAUGCCGCUUAAUAGGUUGCACAAAAGUCUGAAAGUCAGGAACACCCAUAUAAACAGUGGUGCUGGUGAGAUGUGCUUCAGCUGUUUCACUGAUCUGAGGUCAUUCUUCCAGGCUGACAUCACUGGAAUGUAAGCGGUUGGACUCGACUCUCCCUUUCUUUUUCUUUCAUCACCACCAGCUGAGGAAAGCACAGGAUGGAGGCACUGUGCAGCACCUUGCAGCUCCCCUUAGCUACAGAGAGCAAAAAUAGGAUUGAGUUGAGCAGUAAAGCCAGCUUUGUGACCUUUGCUUAAAAUCUGAAUGUGAUACAGUCUGGCUAUCUGACAUUCCAAGGCAUAGCUUGUGUUGUUGUGUAGGGCUUCUGCUCUUUAAUGAGGGCAGGUGUUGGAAGAUUUUACAGUAGAAAUAAUAUUUAGACUUCAUGGUACAUAACAGAGAAUAAAUAAAAUGAACAUAUUUGACAAACAGUUCUGGUCUAUUUUUGCUCACCAAUUUUUCUCAAAUGGAGUGACUGUCGCUCUCUUAAGAGUAGAUUAGGUUUGCAAUCUGCAGUGGGUUAAAGUAUUACUCUUUAUCCUUUCAAGAUCUGUCUGCAAAUGUGAAUUUGGGUCACAGAAGGAAAUGACCAGAAUAAAUCCCUUAUGGUCAUCUUAGUCAGCUGGGCAAAUGCACAGAGAUGCUGUUAUUUACAAUAUUAACAAACUAUUAUUGAAGAUGGAAAAAUAUUUCAUAGACUCAUGGAAAGCCCGAGGUUGAAAAGCAUCACAACACUCAUCCAGUUCCAACCCCCUGCUGUGUGCAGGUCACCAACCAGCAGCCCAGGCUGCCCAGAGCCACAUCCAGCCUGGCCUUGAAUGCCUGCAGGGAUGGGGCAUCCACAGCCUCCUUGGGCAACCUGUUCCAGUGCCUCACCACCCUCUGGGGGAAAAACUUCCUCCUCAUAUCCAACCUAAACCUCCCCUGUCUCACUUUAAGACCAUUCCCCCUUGUCCCAUCACCAUCCACCCUCAUAAACAGCCAUUCCCCUUCCUGCUUACACUCUCCCUUCAAGUAUUGGAUUGCUUUUCUUGAUAAGAAUGCUCACUUCCAAGAAAGUUUGAGAUCUCAGGAUAAAGUCAAAAAGCAAUCAUAUCCAUACCUGCAUUCGGCCUACCAAGGAGGGAAGUUCUACCUUAAAUCAUCUGGAAUCUUCCAGAUCGUAUUCUAAAGAAUCAGAUGUGGAAGUCCAGGCUUCACAGACGGCAGUUGGAGAGUUUAUCAGUUGUCUGAUAAAAAUAAAGCUCUUUCAUUCAGGAAAAACAGAUUUCCCAAGCUCUCACUUCCUACAGUGAGUGAAAAUCCUACUUCCUGUACUUAAAUCCACCGUUGUGCUCAUGUUACAUUAUACAUUUUAUAAAGGCUAUCCAAAUUGUCAAUCCUGGAGUAUGUAUUUUAAUCAUCAGUCUUGCCCAGCACACCUCAGUGCUCAUUCUGGUCUAUUUACACUUAAUCAGAGCAAUUAAAUUAAAUACACAGAAACAUCCUCAUAAACUCUUACAAAGCUCUUCAUUGCACAAACCAGUACUCUUGAAUAAAGCUUGGUGGAUUCGUAAAUGCUUAAUGCUGAGAGGCAUCGUGCAAGUUUUAUUGGUUUUAUUUGCACAACAGCAAUGAACAGAAGCAUGCAUCCCUUCCCAAUGCUCCUGCAAUGCGCUGGGCUGGAAUAUAAACCUGCUGCAAGGAGUGGAUGAGGGGAAGGUGGGAACAACACGGAGGGGUUCAAACACAGCGUGGUGCAUCAUGCUGAGCAAGAUGCCCGCUUUAAAAAUGCUUCAUGAGGGCGUUUCUUUAUCGGUCCCCUUGCCACGCUGUGGGAGGACUCAGGAGGGCCCGUUGCGAGGGGAUGGAUGUGGUGUAAGGAGCUGCAGGAGGGCGGGAUGUGCGCAGUCAGCAAAGGGAACGCUGUGGCGAAAGGAGCG